CCUGGCUCAGAACGAACGCUGGCGGCAGGCUUAACACAUGCAAGUCGAACGCCCCGCAAGGGGAGUGGCAGACGGGUGAGUAACGCGUGGGAACAUACCCUUUCCUGCGGAAUAGCUCCGGGAAACUGGAAUUAAUACCGCAUACGCCCUACGGGGGAAAGAUUUAUCGGGGAAGGAUUGGCCCGCGUUGGAUUAGCUAGUUGGUGGGGUAAAGGCCUACCAAGGCGACGAUCCAUAGCUGGUCUGAGAGGAUGAUCAGCCACAUUGGGACUGAGACACGGCCCAAACUCCUACGGGAGGCAGCAGUGGGGAAUAUUGGACAAUGGGCGCAAGCCUGAUCCAGCCAUGCCGCGUGAGUG
This 359-nucleotide ribosomal RNA is filed under the name Rhizobium sp. R-32725. RNAcentral describes it as "bacterial SSU rRNA". It matches the Rfam family "Bacterial small subunit ribosomal RNA", at positions 18 to 407 of the family's 1533-position model. The record is from RNAcentral. Lineage: Bacteria; Pseudomonadati; Pseudomonadota; Alphaproteobacteria; Hyphomicrobiales; Rhizobiaceae.